UUGGCUGGCCUUGUCUUCACGAGAGGCGCCAUCACGACCGGGUAUGGAAAUUGGGUCGUGACAGAGAGAAGGAAAUUCUUACCCAUGGUAUUCUUCAGAAUCGUCCCAGCUAAUCUCUCAUGGAAGUCUAUCUCAACUCCUAAGAGAUAUUUCAUUUCAUAAUUUAAACAAGUAAUCUCAAGGUUGAUCGUCAAUAUCAUGAAAGAACGAAGGUUGCAUAGCAAUAUAACUUGUCACCACAAAGAUGAUUUCAGAACUUCUAUUUCUUCCAAAAAAAUCAACUACUGUUUCCAGCUUUGGAGUGUAGUUUAUAAAUGCUUCCAUAUUAAAAAUUAUUAUGACUUUGGUAUUUCUGUGUUGUGAAUGAGCAAGAGGAUGGAUGACUUUUGUGUUGGUGAA
This is a long non-coding RNA of Nicotiana attenuata, 399 nucleotides long. RefSeq lists it as uncharacterized. The transcript has 2 exons. The record is from RefSeq and is a predicted model, not a curated record. Lineage: Eukaryota; Viridiplantae; Streptophyta; Magnoliopsida; Solanales; Solanaceae.